CUGGGUUCCUGGGAACUUUGAGUUCCUCAACUUCGCCCCACCUCGCGGCCCCUGGUCCUCGGUUCCGGCCUGAGGCGACCCCCGGGCACCGUCGUGGUCGCCUGCUCGCCUCCGCCGAGCGGUGUCGGAGCGGGAGCCCGUGGGGCCCGUGAGGUUCUGCUGACAAGGUAAAACAAUGAGGAGCACUGCCCCACAGCCAAGCUGGGAUGCUGGACCCAUUCCAGAGAGAAGCAUCAGUCACCUGAAGCCACCCAUUCACAAAGGCGAGAUCUGUGGGUGUGAGACUCGCUGGCUCCCCAUGGAUCUGUUUGACACCAUAGACAAAGCAGUUACACUAGAGACAGGGAAGGAUCACACAGAGAGCUGACAUCAGGACCAAGCAGAUCUACACUGCCCACGUUUGAAUCAAGAGUCACUUCACGGAUGAAUUCAGGGCACUCACUGAUGCUCCAGGACAUCACAUGACGCCCCUUUACAGACAAGGUGUCUCAGAGCAGUCAAGUGCUCUCCUUGCCUCACUCACCCUUCUCAGCCAGAGGAAGGACCAAUGAGACAUGGGCGGACAGGAAGCCAGGACUUGGAAGCAUCGCAUAUAACUGCUGUUUCACUGCUUGGCUCUCUGGUUGCCUAGAAACAGCAUCUCCCUGCUGGGUAGACACUUGGCUUGCCCCUUAAACAGUUCUAAUCAUAUGCUGCUUUAAUAAACCAACCCUCCCUCCAAAAUAAAAGGUAUGG
RNAcentral lists this long non-coding RNA (735 nucleotides) under Oryctolagus cuniculus (rabbit). RNAcentral's name for it is "lncRNA (ENSOCUG00000037144.1)". The record is from RNAcentral. Lineage: Eukaryota; Metazoa; Chordata; Mammalia; Lagomorpha; Leporidae.